Molecule: ribosomal RNA, 502 nt
Filed under: uncultured Lachnospiraceae bacterium
Lineage: Bacteria; Bacillati; Bacillota; Clostridia; Lachnospirales; Lachnospiraceae
Description: partial 16S ribosomal RNA
Source: RNAcentral
CACGUAGUUAGCCGGGGCUUCUUGGUCAGGUACUGUCAUUUUCUUCCCUGCUGAUAGAACUUUACAUACCGAAAUAUUUCUUCGUUCACGCGGCGUCGCUGCAUCAGGGUUCCCCCCAUUGUGCAAUAUCCCCCACCUGCUGCCUCCCGCAGGAGUCUGGGCCGUGUCUCAGUCCCAAUGUGGCCGGCCGCCCUCUCAGGCCGGCUACUGAUCGCAGCCUUGGUGGGCCGUUACCCCGCCAACAAGCUAAUCAGACGCGGGCCCAUCCCGUACUGCCGGAGCUUUCCCCGCAGGGCCAUGCGGCCCCGCGGGAAUAUGCGGUAUUAGCAGCCGUUUCCGGCUGUUGUCCCCCGGUACGGGGCAGGUUGCCCACGCGUUGCUCACCCGUCCGCCACUCAGUCCCCCGCGGCUUUCCCCCGGAGGGGUCCGCCGCAGGCGCUUCGUUCGACUUGCAUGUGUUAGGCACGCCGCCAGCGUUCAUCCUGAGCCAGGAUCAAACUCU